AUGGAACAAAAUAAAUGUUACCAUGAUUGUUUUUUUUUUAUUUUUUUAUUUAUUUAUUUUUUUACAGUGCACUCACAGAUUAACUGUCUUUUGGGAAAUUUUCAGCGAUUAAAAAGGUGUCACCAGCGUGUGGCGUUUCAAAACAGUGGAUCAUUUUGUGAAGCAAUCGACUCUUCACAAAGACCUGCCCUCCUUCGUUACUGUUGCUACAUAUGACCAGCCAUGGCGCUCUCACACCACACAUCAUGUUCUCAUGCAGUGAAAAACACAUUGUGCCAACAGACAAGACAGAGCAGGAUACUUCUGGCAUGAAACAAAGUCUCAGCUUUCCAAUCAUGUCAUUUUCUUUAAGAAAUUCAAAAAAUAAAACCUGAUUUGUGGCACUUUAAUGUGUCGUGACAGAUCGCUGUAGCAGCACGUGAACCGAUCAUCUCUUACUCUUUACUACUAGUUAUAGCACAAAAUAAACAUGAAUGAACAACAGAAGGAAUCUUGUUUAACCCGCAGAAAGACAUCAAUACACACCAUUUUUCAAAGUUCACUGACAUUAAUCUACUCUCCUUUCUGUUUUGUUUGUCAGACAAAAUAACAGAUUCUGCGUUAUGAUUGGACAGAUCGCCUGUCAUUCAAACUCCUGGCGAAGGGUCAAUGGGUUUGUUUUUAUGCAUGUUUGGCCUGAGUUUUGUUGUAUUUCUACUAUUUUGACCACCAGGAGUCACCAGCGUGUGGCGUUUUGAGCGCUUCAAACAGUGAGUCAUUUUUCGAAGCAACUGAUUCAAAAUCUCAAAAUUCUUAAUUUCUCCUGUCACUAGUUUUAGAGAACGAACACAGUAAUUAAUUCACUUACUUGUCAGACAAAAGAGAAGUAACUUGGGCAUCUCUUCUUAUCACUUUCUCUGUCGUCUAAUCUUUCCACCUUGUGUUUGUCAUACCGAUGUUUGUGCUCAUUCUUGUUUUUAUCGGUAUUUCUGUCUUCUGGCUUCAGAGCUUUUCUGCUUCUUCAUCUGUACAGGUACUGAUUCUCCCACUGUUGACACAUUUAUUUAAAACACUUUUUUAUAGAAAACUAUUAUAAGUGGAGUCUUCAUCUGAUGUGAAUGUACACCAUUCAGAUGACUCUUCACAAGCACAUUUCACGGGUCAAGUGCGUCUCACCUCUCCGAAGCCCUGGAACCAUUCUCUCUCAACAGGUUCUGCUCGAUCUCGUCUUUCAUCCACAUUCAUCUCAGGAUCUGACAGGAGCAGCUCUGCAUCCAUAUGGCACACAAGGACUUGAGUGUGUGAGAGAAAGAGAGUGAGAACAGAUUGUUGUGGGACCUUCAGUCCUGCCCUGUGAACCUGAUGCCACAAUCACCAGCAGGAGAGCAAAAGCACUGCUGAUAGAAGGGCAGAUGACACACACACACACACACACACACACACACACACACACACACACACACACACUCCAAAAUUAACUUUUGACACAUCUGCCAAUGGCUGGAAUUAUAGUUACUCGUUUAGAAACACUUUUAUCCAAAGUGACAAAUGAGGACAAAAUGAAUUGACUAGCACCUGCUGAUAUAAAUGAAUAAAUAUUAUAUGUGUAAAAUAUACAAUACAGCUUCAUGAAAAGUAAAUAUUUGAUAUAUAGCACACAGAUAUAUUUUUAAAAGAAGUCUCUUUUCUGCUCACCAAGGCUGCAUUUGAUUAAAAAUAAGGUUAAAACAAUAAUUAUUGUGAAAUACAUUUUUAAAAGUAAUUUUAGAAAUUUUUGAUUAAUAUGGGUUUCAAAGAAGAACAUUUAUUUGAAAUGUAAAUAUUUGGGCUCAAUGAUUUGUUUUUGAAAAGAUAUAUAUAUAUAUAUAUAUAUAUAUAUAUAUAUAUAUAUAUAUAUAUAUAUAUAUAUAUAUAUAUAUACAGGUCCUUCUCAAAAAAAUUAGCAUAUUGUGAAAAAGUUCAUUAUUUUCCAUAAUGUAAUGAUAAAAAUUAAACUUUCAUAUAUUUUAGAUUCAUUGCACACCAACUGAAAUAUUUCAGGCCUUUUAUUGUUUUAAUACUGAUGAUUUUGGCAUACAGCUCAUGAAAACCCCAAAUUCCUAUCUCAAAAAAUUAGCAUAUCAUGAAAAGGUUCUCUAAACGAGCUAUUAACCUAAUCAUUUGAAUCAACUAAUUAACUCUAAACACCUGCAAAAGAUCCCUGAGGCUUUUAAAAACUCCCAGCCUGGUU
Long non-coding RNA from Cyprinus carpio carpio, 2209 nucleotides. The record is from Ensembl. NCBI's taxonomy places the organism in Eukaryota, Metazoa, Chordata, Actinopteri, Cypriniformes, Cyprinidae.